GAUGAAGAACGUAGCGAAAUGCGAUAAGUAAUGUGAAUUGCAGAAUUCAGUGAAUCAUCGAAUCUUUGAACGCACAUUGCGCCCGCCAGUAUUCUGGCGGGCAUGCCUGUUCGAGCGUCAUUACAACCCUCAGGCCUCGCUUGGUAUUGGGCAACGCGGUCCGCCGCGUGCCUCAAAUCGACCGGCUGGGUCUUCUGUCCCCUAAGCGUUGUGGAAACUAUUCGCUAAAGGGUGUUCGGGAGGCUACGCCGUAAAACAACCCCAUUUCUAAGGUUGACCUCGGAUCAGGUAGGGAUACCCGCUGAACUUAAGCAUAUCAAUAAGCGGAGGA
This 331-nucleotide unclassified non-coding RNA is filed under the name soil metagenome. Its description in RNAcentral is "partial contains 5.8S ribosomal RNA, internal transcribed spacer 2, and large subunit ribosomal RNA". The stretch from base 1 to 120 matches the Rfam family "5.8S ribosomal RNA", at positions 35 to 154 of the family's 154-position model. The record is from RNAcentral.